Molecule: small nuclear RNA, 103 nt
Organism: Acomys russatus (golden spiny mouse)
Lineage: Eukaryota; Metazoa; Chordata; Mammalia; Rodentia; Muridae
Source: RefSeq, a predicted model, not a curated record
UUGUUUUGACAACACAUAUACUAAAAUCGGAACGAUACAGAGAAGAGUAGCACGGCUCCUGUGCAAGGAUGGCACACAAAUUUGGGAACCUUUCCAUAUUUAA